Rattus norvegicus (Norway rat) is the source of this 99-nucleotide small nuclear RNA. Ensembl annotates it as U2 spliceosomal RNA. Lineage: Eukaryota; Metazoa; Chordata; Mammalia; Rodentia; Muridae. The record is from Ensembl.
AUCGCUUCUCGGCCUUUUGGCUAAGAUCAAGUGUAGAAUAAAUAUUUGAAAACUUUUAAAAAAUUUGUAUUAGCAUAUAUAGAAUUUUGUAGACCCAAA